UACGUAGGAGGCGAGCGUUGUCCGGAUUUACUGGGCGUAAAGGGUCUGUAGGCGGUCUGGUAAGCGUGCCGUGAAAGCUCCCGGCUCAACUGGGAGAGGUCGGUGCGAACUGCUAGACUGGAGGGUCGGCGAGGCAGACGGAAUUCCUGGUGGAGCGGUAACAUGCGUAGAGAUCAGGAGGAACACCGGUGGCGAAAGCGGUCUGCUGGACGACACCUGACGCUGAGGGACGAAAGCGUGGGGAGCGAACAGA
RNAcentral lists this ribosomal RNA (253 nucleotides) under uncultured bacterium. RNAcentral's name for it is "partial 16S ribosomal RNA". It matches the Rfam family "Bacterial small subunit ribosomal RNA", at positions 524 to 776 of the family's 1533-position model. The record is from RNAcentral.